AGAAACCUCCAAUCUCAUCAUCAUGCGGGGGGCUCGGGCCAGCACCAGGACACUCAACCUCAGCCAGCUCAGCUUCCACCGCGUUGACCAGAAGGAGAUCACCCAGCUGUCCCACUUGGGCCAGGGCACAAGGACCAAUGUGUAUGAGGGCCGCCUGCGAGUGGAGGGCAGCAGGGACACUGAGGAGGGCAAGAUGGAUGACGAGGACCCCUCGUGCCUGGCAGGGAGCAUGGGCAGGAGCUACGAGUGGUGCUCAAAGUGCUGGACCCUAGUCACCAUGACAUCGCCCUGGCCUUCUACGAGACAGCCAGCCUCAUGAGCCAGGUCUCCCACGCACACCUGGCCUUCGUGCAUGGCGUCUGUGUGCGCGGCCCUGAAAGUGAGUGGGUCCUGCCAUACCCAUCCCCCUUUGGCAGGCCACCCCUGACUUAUACCCGCUCCCUGAUCUGUACCCCAGCCCUCGACCUACACGCCAACCAAUGCCUAUUUCUCGACUCUCACCUGUACUCUUAUCCCGGGCUACACCUUGACCUUCAACCUAGACCCCAACGCCUAACAAUAUUCCAGCCCAUAACUUACAUCCCA
This 585-nucleotide small RNA is filed under the name Pongo abelii (Sumatran orangutan). Its description in RNAcentral is "retained intron". Lineage: Eukaryota; Metazoa; Chordata; Mammalia; Primates; Hominidae. The record is from RNAcentral.